GGGGUUCUGGCUCAGUGGCAGAGCACUUGCCUCGCACACAUGUGGCACUAAGUUCGAUCCUCAGCACCUCA
Molecule: transfer RNA, 71 nt
Filed under: Marmota monax (woodchuck)
Lineage: Eukaryota; Metazoa; Chordata; Mammalia; Rodentia; Sciuridae
Rfam family: tRNA
About the family: Transfer RNA (tRNA) molecules are approximately 80 nucleotides in length. Their secondary structure includes four short double-helical elements and three loops (D, anti-codon, and T loops).
Source: Rfam by way of RNAcentral